Molecule: transfer RNA, 53 nt
Filed under: Desis jiaxiangi
Lineage: Eukaryota; Metazoa; Arthropoda; Arachnida; Araneae; Desidae
Description: tRNA-Leu
Source: RNAcentral
AUUUAUUGGCAGAAAAAUGCAUUAGAAUUAGAAUCUAAACAUACUAAAAUUCU